Triticum aestivum (bread wheat) is the source of this 1550-nucleotide long non-coding RNA. RefSeq lists it as uncharacterized. Lineage: Eukaryota; Viridiplantae; Streptophyta; Magnoliopsida; Poales; Poaceae. The transcript is spliced from 3 exons. The record is from RefSeq and is a predicted model, not a curated record.
UCUGUUGCCAGUUCCUCUAACCAUACUUCUAUUUUGUAUAGUUGUAUCGAAUAUAAUUAUAAAAUUUACAUGAUUUGUGUAAUGGAUGAUUUAUGGUUAGCAUAUUUGCCUGAACAUACCAGAUUUGACAUGAUGCCUUUUUUCUUGCUUAUAUGUCAUCCAUCUCUAGAACAUUUCGUAUUUUUAAUUGCAAUAUAAUCACUCAAUUGUUGUCACAUAUUAUACAAAUUUUGUUUUCUUGCAUGUUGACCAAAGUAUUAUCUUCAUAAUCAUGUUAUUAUGAAAAAUUAUUUUCGGAUGAAUUACUUUUACAGUCAUUAAUCCAGGGAUUUGCUGUCAGUAAGCAGAAUCAUGCUUACUGAAUCUAGGCAGUUCAUCCAAGAAAAUGUUGAUUACCGAAUUCAGGCAGUUCAUAUGUGAAUUGGCUGCGUUUGUAGACUGAGGAUAGAUGCUGCUGCACCAAGGAGAACUCCCUGCCCAAAUUGCAUCAGUGCGUUUGAGAAGGCUCUUAAGAGUUAUGCUGACAACCCAGCUGAGGAUGUGAUCACACUAGUUCUUGGCACUACUUUCGACUUUUUGGACGAGGCUUACGACUUCUACAAUUUGUAAUUGUCCAUCCUGUCUGAUCCGUGGAUCAGGAAGUUCGCUUUUCGUGUACUGGUUGAAGAACCGAACUGAAUGCAGGACCGAGUCUUCUUGCCCAAGGCGUAGGUCAUUUGGAAGCUGAGCACUACGGGAUAGAGGCAAGGAGCACCGGCGGCGAGGCACCAUGGAGUUUCUGAUGCAGCCAAUCGACAGUUUUAGAUCUGCUCUGCUUGAGGAAGUAGGUAAGAGUUUGGUGCCGGCCCCUGUGGCUGUGAAUGGCCCUGCGGUGGCGGUUUUGAAGGUGGCGCAGCAGGGCGGAGGGCGAGGUGGCGCAGCAUCGGGCGGUGGACAGCGACGAAGCACAAAUCUUCUCGGCGAAGGAUGCGGCGGCUGAAGAUGGGAGAGCUCCCCUCCAACUUCGGAGCUAUCAACGGGGAAGCUGAAUCCCUAAGCGUCGGGGUGUAACAAGAGGCUUAGGAUUGGUGCUGCCACACGAAGCAGAACACCGUGCCCAAAUCGAAUCAGUGCGUUCGAGAAGGCAGCCAGGUGUUGUGGAGAGAACCCAGCUGAAAAUGUGAUCACACCAGUUUUUGGUACUACUUUUGACUCUCUGGGCGAAGCAUAUGAUGUGAUUUCUAUGAGGGGGAACCGAUGUGAGCUGCUAGAUUUCAUGAUCGAGGUGCUGCCAUUCUGAAGUGAGAUGAGGUGUCAGAUAUGCAUUAUAUAUGCAGUAGGUGUGCAUUUGUUGUGAAAGCAUUUCGUUGUGCGGAACAAACUAGAGAGAAAGUUUAGCUACCAUCCCCUUUGAUGUGGUGUGGCAGUGGUUUCCUGGGGUUUCCAUCGCACUGGACGGAAAUGUUAGCUGCCAUCCACUUGUUGUGGUGUGGUGUUGAUUUCCCAGGAUUUCCAGUGUUAGCCAUGGGCAUGUAUUUUGAGUAACUAAUGCGUGUUUAGGCUCGCAUCCA